Molecule: unclassified non-coding RNA, 833 nt
Filed under: Hevea brasiliensis (rubber tree)
Lineage: Eukaryota; Viridiplantae; Streptophyta; Magnoliopsida; Malpighiales; Euphorbiaceae
Source: RNAcentral
UCACUGCUAUCUACCUUUUUUUUAUUUAUUUAAAUUGUUUCUUUUUGUUCAUCCAAUCUAUCUACCACUUUCAAAACUCUGUUUCUUCUCUUGUAAAAUGGGAUGCUCUGGAUCCUCACUGGCCAAUGGAGAUGAGCGUAAAAAGAAAAUCCGGAAGCCAAAACCAUGGAAGCAUUCUGAGCCAAUCACAAGGACACAACUACUGCAGAUGCGUGAGGAGUUUUGGGAUACUGCUCCUCAUUAUGGUGGGCAGAAAGAGAUAUGGGACGCACUUCAUGCUGCUGCUGAAGCUGAUUUAACUCUUGCACAAGCAAUUGUGGACAGUGCUGGUGUGAUUAUUCAGAGUGAAGACUUGACAAUCUGCUAUGAUGAGAGAGGUGCAAAGUAUGAACUUCCAAAGUAUGUCUUGAGUGAGCCAAAAAAUUUGAUUAAAGAUAAUUGAAAAUGGGGCAAAUGAACGCUAUUCUCCAUUUACGAUAUAUCUUGUAAAAAUUGUCUCAUUUUCAUUUUACUUCUGAAAUGUCUUCCACUUGAAAUUUGUAAGGGCCAUCAUUCAUAUAACAUUCAAAAUGUCAGCCUACUAUUGUGACUUGUGACAUUGUGACUCAAACAAAAUGGGUAAAUAGCUAUUUCUGCAAACUGGUGGUGCUUUUUCAGUCAGUGCAUGAGAGUUUUCCAAAGGAAUAUGUAAUACAAUAGCAGUUCUUGUCAGUGAAAUCUCUGUUGUUUCAAUCCUAUAAACUGCACUUACUAUUUGUGUUAAAUUAGAAAGAGUGUAGACAUAAAGAAUUUAGUAAUGCUGUUUGUAUUGAUGAAACCGUUACCAAUUCUCA